GUGUUCACUUUGGCAGCACAUAUACUAAAAUUGAAACAAUACAGAGAUUAAGAUGGUCCUUUGUGCAAGGAUGACAUGCAAACUCAUGAAGUGUUCCAUAUUACA
This is a small nuclear RNA of Cricetulus griseus (Chinese hamster), 105 nucleotides long. The record is from Ensembl. Lineage: Eukaryota; Metazoa; Chordata; Mammalia; Rodentia; Cricetidae.